UGGUGGAGUGAUUUGUCUGGUUAAUUCCGUUAACGAACGAGACCACCGCGUGCUAAAUAGUCAUGACUAGUCUUUGACUAGCCUAUGACUUCUUAGAGGGACUGAUGGCGACUAGUCAUCGGAAGUUGGUGGCAAUAACA
This 140-nucleotide ribosomal RNA is filed under the name uncultured eukaryote. RNAcentral's name for it is "partial 18S ribosomal RNA". It matches the Rfam family "Eukaryotic small subunit ribosomal RNA", at positions 1299 to 1458 of the family's 1831-position model. The record is from RNAcentral.